This 1267-nucleotide long non-coding RNA is filed under the name Sarcophilus harrisii (Tasmanian devil). Its description in RNAcentral is "lncRNA (ENSSHAG00000025636.1)". The record is from RNAcentral. Lineage: Eukaryota; Metazoa; Chordata; Mammalia; Dasyuromorphia; Dasyuridae.
GGGGGCAAAUUUCCCUUGUCUCCACCCUCCUAUUUUCCAGUCUGGUUUUGUGUGUGAGAUGGAGAACAAGCUUCCUGUGAGCACGUGUCCACCUGCGUGUGCAUGUGUGAACGCACAUGUGAGGAAGGGUGUAUGUUCACCUGUGUGCGUGCACUUAUGGGCACCUAAGUGAGUGGUUGGGGAAGCAUUCAUGGGGAGCCUGCCUAGGUGCAGGAGGGGGAGGGCACUACGGAGCCCAAGGUCCCCCUCAUGCCCUGCUUUCGCUGCCGGGGCUGACUUCCCAGUGUCCAUCUGUGCAUCUCCGGACGCAGUGACCCUGUGAGGAGCAGGGAUGGCUCCGGUGCUGCCCUCAGCCAGUUCUCUGCAGGAAGAAAGAGAACAUUGUACAUGGCAACAGGAAGAUUAUACCAUGAUCACUUCUGAUGGACGCAGCUCUUUCCAACAUUGAGGUGAUUCAGGCCAGUUCCAAUGGUCUUGUGGUGGAGAGAGCCAUCUGCACUCAGAGAGAGGGAAGCGGGAGAGAAGAGGUGAUUAGACUGGAGGCCAGAGACAGCUAUUCAGAGCUCACCAUGAUCUGUGAAACCUGGACAGUCCGCCACUAGCACCAUGCCAGGCUCCCGGGAUCGCUUGGAAGAUCUCCUGGCAAGACGAGCCAGACACCGAAGGCCUUAGGCUUUCAGACUGCCACAGACAGCUGGACUCUGAGCGCUGCCCUCACCACUUUAAUGUCACCUGGAUGCUCGCCUUUAAGAACUCGCACAAGAGAAGCACUCAUUGAAGGUCAGAAGUAGUGAUACGAGGACGUCCUCAAGGUCUCUCUGAAGAGCUGUGGACUCCCGUGGGAGCGUGGGCACAGGACCCCCAGCUGGAGGGUGCCUCCAGCGGAGAAGGCGCCCAUGCUCUCCAAGCAAAGCAGGGUUGCAGUAACUCAGGGCAAGUUCAGAGAGUUGCCCUGAAUGCUCACACGAACUGUCUGUGCCUGACCUGGGGGAGGCAUUCUGAGCUCAGAGGACACACUAUCCCUGGCCCUAGCAUAGUGACAACAUUUUGGGUCCUCUUCAAGGACAAAGGACAACAACAAACCAACUGUGAGGGUCAGAAGAGAGCGAUAGAGUGCUUGGAAAACUUAGUGAGUUACAAACGGGGCCUAUUAUUGCUUCCUUGUGUUCCUUGUUUUAAAACUCCCUUUUAUGGUUCUCUAUAUCCUUCUCAAUUACACUGAAUUCUCUUUAUUCUAACCCGGAAGUAACAUCAGGACCUGGACCAG